Molecule: ribosomal RNA, 267 nt
Filed under: uncultured Acholeplasma sp.
Lineage: Bacteria; Bacillati; Mycoplasmatota; Mollicutes; Acholeplasmatales; Acholeplasmataceae
Description: partial 16S ribosomal RNA
Rfam family: Bacterial small subunit ribosomal RNA
Source: RNAcentral
AGUUACCAUCAUUAGUUGGGGACUCUAGCGAGACUGCCAGUGAUAAACUGGAGGAAGGUGGGGAUGACGUCAAAUCAUCAUGCCCCUUAUGACCUGGGCUACAAACGUGAUACAAUGGCUGAAACAAAGGGCAGCGAAGGAGCGAUCUGGAGCGAAACCCAAAAAAGCAGUCUCAGUUCGGAUUGAAGUCUGCAACUCGACUUCAUGAAGUCGGAAUCGCUAGUAAUCGCGGAUCAGAACGCCGCGGUGAAUACGUUCUCGGGGUUU